UACUCCCGCAGCCCCUUCACAAACCACACGGCGUUACGGUACCAGGACAUGGCGGUGGUGCUUCUGCCGCCACAGGGGUGCCGGCCCCGCCUCUGCCCUUACAUAAGGCGCGCGGACAGCCCUGCCCGCCGUUAGGAGUUUUUGACUGAAGUGUUCUUAAGCAAUUGAUCCUGAUUCUGAUGCUCAAAAUGGAGACUUCUGGCCCAGAAAGGAACAACUUGGCAAUAGUAUGAGUGGCAGAAAGUUAUUUCCUACAAUGGAAAAUGAAUGGCAGCCUAAACUACAGAUACAUACUAUGAUGUCUCUACCUGUUUCUCUUCUUACUACUCUUCUAGUGGAUCUUACUGUUCUUCCUACCAGCUCUUGGACAGUGAUGCUCAUGGACUUAAUAACUCAGCACCUGUGGGACUUUCAUGUACUCCAGUAGUGAACAGGAACCUCAAGAAAUUCAAGCCACGAAGCAACAAUUUCAACUCACAGUCCUGAUGUAACAAUCCUUUCUGUAUUAUACGUAGA
This is a long non-coding RNA of Grus americana (Whooping crane), 516 nucleotides long. RefSeq lists it as uncharacterized. The transcript has 4 exons. NCBI's taxonomy places the organism in Eukaryota, Metazoa, Chordata, Aves, Gruiformes, Gruidae. The record is from RefSeq and is a predicted model, not a curated record.